GUGAACGCUGGCGGUAGGCCUAACACCUGCAAGUCGAACGGCAGCACAGUAAGAGCUUGCUCUUACGGGUGGCGAGUGGCGGACGGGUGAGGAAUACAUCGGAAUCUACUUUUUCGUGGGGGAUAACGUAGGGAAACUUACGCUAAUACCGCAUACGACCUACGGGUGAAAGCAGGGGAUCUUCGGACCUUGCGCGAUUGAAUGAGCCGAUGUCGGAUUAGCUAGUUGGCGGGGUAAAGGCCCACCAAGGCGACGAUCCGUAGCUGGUCUGAGAGGAUGAUCAGCCACACUGGAACUGAGACACGGUCCAGACUCCCACGGGAGGCAGCAGUGGGGAAUAUUGGACAAUGGGCGCAAGCCUGAUCCAGCCAUACCGCGUGGGUGAAGAAGGCCUUCGGGUUGUAAAGCCCUUUUGUUGGGAAAGAAAAGCAGCAGGUUAAUACCCCGCUGUUCUGACGGUACCCAAAGAAUAAGCACCGGCUAACUUCGUG
Molecule: ribosomal RNA, 491 nt
Filed under: uncultured bacterium
Lineage: Bacteria
Description: partial 16S ribosomal RNA
Rfam family: Bacterial small subunit ribosomal RNA
Source: RNAcentral